RNAcentral lists this ribosomal RNA (307 nucleotides) under uncultured eukaryote. RNAcentral describes it as "partial 18S ribosomal RNA". It matches the Rfam family "Eukaryotic small subunit ribosomal RNA", at positions 1470 to 1796 of the family's 1831-position model. The record is from RNAcentral.
CCCUUAGAUGUUCUGGGCUGCACGCGCGCUACACUGACGAAGGCAACGAGCUACUCUUCACCGAAAGGUGUGGGUAAUCUUUUGAAACUUCGUCGUGCUGGGGAUAGAUCCUUGCAAUUUUUGAUCUUAAACGAGGAAUUCCUAGUAAGCGCAAGUCAUCAACUUGCGUUGAUUACGUCCCUGCCCUUUGUACACACCGCCCGUCGCUACUACCGAUUGAAUGGUUUAGUGAGGCCUUCGGAUCCGCGAUUUUAUUGUGGAGAAGUUGGACAAACUCAGUCAUUUAGAGGAAGUAAAAGUCGUAACA